This 408-nucleotide ribosomal RNA is filed under the name Triticum aestivum (bread wheat). Its description in RNAcentral is "partial small subunit ribosomal RNA". The record is from RNAcentral. Lineage: Eukaryota; Viridiplantae; Streptophyta; Magnoliopsida; Poales; Poaceae.
AUGGAAGAUGCUGGAUUGGACUUCUUCCUUGAUGCCAUUGACAGGUUCCCCCUGCAGGAAUUCGCGGACAGCCACGAACACCCAGAUUCGGUUCCUCUGAUUUUGUUGGCGAGCGGCGGAGUAGGAGCGACGGCCCCUGCUGAUUCCAAUGCUUGCUCCGGUUGUGGUCAGCAGAGCGGCGGCGACGGCAGCGAAGCUGCGCGUGCUGGGGUUCGGCGACGACAGGAGUCAUCCCCGACGAGGUCCACAGUCCACCGACAGAGUCAAUCCCCAGGCCCCUCUGGUUGCACAAAAAGAUUAAGGCUGGGUAGUGCGUCGCCCGACCGGAUGCCAUGUCCAUCCAGAAUGAUUUCUAUGGAUUGGAAUAGUCGAUUUGCAAAUAAGCAGAGGAAUCAACAAAAAGUGUGA